Molecule: ribosomal RNA, 902 nt
Filed under: Xylaria xanthinovelutina
Lineage: Eukaryota; Fungi; Ascomycota; Sordariomycetes; Xylariales; Xylariaceae
Description: partial large subunit ribosomal RNA
Rfam family: Eukaryotic large subunit ribosomal RNA
Source: RNAcentral
UCGGGGAAAAGGAACAACAGGGAUUGCCCUAGUAACGGCGAGUGAAGCGGCAACAGCUCAAAUUUGAAAUCUGGCCCUCGGGUCCGAGUUGUAAUUUGUAGAGGAUGCUUUUGGCGCGGUGCCUUCCGAGUUCUCUGGAACGAGACGCCUUAGAGGGUGAGAGCCCCGUACGGUUGGACACCAAGCCUCUGUAAAGCUCCUUCGACGAGUCGAGUAGUUUGGGAAUGCUGCUCUAAAUGGGAGGUAAAUUUCUUCUAAAGCUAAAUAUUGGCCAGAGACCGAUAGCGCACAAGUAGAGUGAUCGAAAGAUGAAAAGCACUUUGAAAAGAGGGUUAAAUAGCACGUGAAAUUGUUGAAAGGGAAGCGUUUGCGACCAGACCUUUUCCUGGCGGAUCAUCCGGUGUUCUCACCGGUGCACUUCGCCAGGUUUAGGCCAGCAUCGGUUUCUGUAGGGGGAUAAAAGCUUUGGGAACGUAGCUCCCUCCGGAGUGUUAUAGCCCUUUGCAUAAUACCCUUACGGGGACCGAGGACCGCGCUCUAUGCAAGGAUGCUGGCGUAAUGGUCGUCAACGACCCGUCUUGAAACACGGACCAAGGAGUCGAACAUUUGUGCGAGUGUUUGGGUGUUAAACCCUCACGCGUAAUGAAGGUGAACGUAGGUGAGAGCCCUUACGGGUGCAUCAUCGACCGAUCCUGAUGUCUUCGGAUGGAUUUGAGUAAGAGCAUAACUGUUCGGACCCGAAAGAUGGUGAACUAUGCGUGGAUAGGGUGAAGCCAGAGGAAACUCUGGUGGAGGCUCGCAGCGGUUCUGACGUGCAAAUCGAUCGUCAAAUCUGCGCAUGGGGGCGAAAGACUUAUCGAACCAUCUAGUAGCUGGUUACCGCCGAAGUUUCCUCUCAGGAA